CCGUCUUCCUAAGAAACAACCAUCCUAAAUGAGCUCCUCUGUAUUUCCAUUUAGGUUCUUUCUAGUUUUCUUCCUGGGUGUUUCUGGACAUGAGUACAUCUCAUUGAAAUAUUCCCACCUCUACCUACAGACAAGAAAAAGGCUUGGAGCACCUCAGUCCACUGCACCAGCAGGACUUGAAUGCCUGAUUGUUCUUUGCUUACUACUUGAAGUCAACUAAAUAGAAGUUCAUCAGACCCUUUUAGAACACUUUGAUCCCACCGCAACCAAGGAAAUUAGCGAGGACUCCCUGGAGGUGAAUCGGUUUUGUUUUCUGGAAACCGCCAGAGGACUGGGCAA
RNAcentral lists this long non-coding RNA (339 nucleotides) under Equus caballus (horse). RNAcentral describes it as "lncRNA (ENSECAG00000054478.1)". Lineage: Eukaryota; Metazoa; Chordata; Mammalia; Perissodactyla; Equidae. The record is from RNAcentral.